Oryza brachyantha (malo sina) is the source of this 1276-nucleotide long non-coding RNA. RefSeq lists it as uncharacterized. Lineage: Eukaryota; Viridiplantae; Streptophyta; Magnoliopsida; Poales; Poaceae. The transcript is spliced from 4 exons. The record is from RefSeq and is a predicted model, not a curated record.
CUGGAAAUCGCCAUCUCCCAAAUCCUCUCGCCGACGCAGCGGCCGCGCUACGAGCGCCGGCGCCGCGGCCUCGGCCUCCGGCGGCGGCUCCGACAGGCGGGCGUCACCAGGACCUCUUCCUCUUACCGCACCGGCUACAGUCUACAUCCACUUCCUCUUGCUCUCCCGCUACCCGCCUUGCUCCGCUUCUCUCUUCCGCCUCCGUUCCCGCCCUAGCGCCGCCUCGUUCACCUCAUCCCUCGCCUCGAUAUCGCCGUCUUCACCCUCAUCCGCCAUGCCGCUCCUCCUCCGCCUCCUCGGCAUGCCCUCGUCCCUCCUCGACGACGGCUUUCUCUUCUCCUUCUUCCGCUCCAUGCCCGUGCCGCCUUCCGUCGAGAUUCAUUUACACGCCACUCCCUUCGAAUUUACAUCCUCCUGCCUCGUUGCUUGUCACCCUUCAGUCUUGAUCCCGAUCCCGUUCGCCUGACACAGCCCGCUACCUGUUCGACGAAAUCCCUGUUGCCUAUUUGCUCAUUGGUACCCCCUCUGACAUCUUGCAAAAUGGGCUCGAAUCUAGAUAGUCUCUUUCAGUAUUAAUCAAGAUGCGCUCAAAAGUUGUAUGGGUUGUGUAAUAGCGGGAUUCAUGCGUGCGCAAUGUGGUUUCAAUGCUUGUCAUCAUGUGUCCCAGGAGUUGGGCUUGCUGUCGUGGACUUUGGUUUCACCACUUCACCCGGAGUAUUUGCAUUUCAUAUUUUUCAUCAAACUCGCACUUCCCAUUGUGUAUAGCGUAGUUCUGUUCUUUCGUCACAAUGGACAAGUGGACUCUCUUAUUGAAUAUUGAAAACUUGGAAAACCUUUGCCAGAUGCAAUUUUGUGUGUGUGUGUGGUUUGAUCCCACGAACUUGAUCCUUUGUAUCUUUUGGGCCUGAAGACACUGAAUGCUAAACUAUCCAUUCAAGUUGCAAAGGGAAUGGAAGAGCCAGAGAAUCUUCAUGCAAAAUAUUAACUGAGGCGUAACAUUCCAGGGAUUCUUCUUUUCACAGAAUCAGCAUGUAUCUGGAGUAUUGAUAUCUGGCAUUUGCCAACGACUGGGUUCAGCAGUCAAUGGGACGAAUCCUUAAUGUUCAGUAGUCAAUGGGACGAAUCUUUGAUGUGAUCAAAGUACGAGGGGUGUUAGAUGGCAAAAAAUUUUUGGCACUAAUGUCACAUUGGAUGGUUACCGGAUGUCAGAAGGGGUUUUUGGAUACGAAUAAAAAAACGAAUUUUACAGCUCAUCUGAAAACCGCGAGACGAAUCU